UUUAAAUUUAGAGUUUGAUCCUGGCUCAGGACGAACGCUGGCGGCGUGCUUAACACAUGCAAGUCGAGCGAUGAAGCUUCCUUCGGGAAGUGGAUUAGCGGCGGACGGGUGAGUAACACGUGGGUAACCUGCCUCAAAGUGGGGGAUAGCCUUCCGAAAGGAAGAUUAAUACCGCAUAAUAUGAGAGAAUCGCAUGAUUUUCUUAUCAAAGAUUUAUUGCUUUGAGAUGGACCCGCGGCGCAUUAGCUAGUUGGUAAGGUAACGGCUUACCAAGGCAACGAUGCGUAGCCGACCUGAGAGGGUGAUCGGCCACAUUGGAACUGAGACACGGUCCAGACUCCUACGGGAGGCAGCAGUGGGGAAUAUUGCGCAAUGGGGGAAACCCUGACGCAGCAACGCCGCGUGGGUGAUGAAGGUCUUCGGAUUGUAAAGCCCUGUUUUCUAGGACGAUAAUGACGGUACUAGAGGAGGAAGCCACGGCUAACUACGUGCCAGCAGCCGCGGUAAUACGUAGGUGGCGAGCGUUGUCCGGAUUUACUGGGCGUAAAGGGUGCGUAGGCGGAUGUUUAAGUGGGAUGUGAAAUCCCCGGGCUUAACCUGGGGGCUGCAUUCCAAACUGGAUAUCUAGAGUGCAGGAGAGGAAAGCGGAAUUCCUAGUGUAGCGGUGAAAUGCGUAGAGAUUAGGAAGAACACCAGUGGCGAAGGCGGCUUUCUGGACUGUAACUGACGCUGAGGCACGAAAGCGUGGGUAGCAAACAGGAUUAGAUACCCUGGUAGUCCACGCCGUAAACGAUGGAUACUAGGUGUAGGGGGUAUCAACUCCCCCUGUGCCGCAGUUAACACAAUAAGUAUCCCGCCUGGGGAGUACGGUCGCAAGAUUAAAACUCAAAGGAAUUGACGGGGGCCCGCACAAGCAGCGGAGCAUGUGGUUUAAUUCGAAGCAACGCGAAGAACCUUACCUGGACUUGACAUCCCUUGCAUAGCCUAGAGAUAGGUGAAGCCCUUCGGGGCAAGGAGACAGGUGGUGCAUGGUUGUCGUCAGCUCGUGUCGUGAGAUGUUAGGUUAAGUCCUGCAACGAGCGCAACCCUUGUUAUUAGUUGCUACCAUUAAGUUGAGCACUCUAAUGAGACUGCCUGGGUAACCAGGAGGAAGGUGGGGAUGACGUCAAAUCAUCAUGCCCCUUAUGUCCAGGGCUACACACGUGCUACAAUGGUAGGUACAAUAAGACGCAAGACCGUGAGGUGGAGCAAAACUUAUAAAACCUAUCUCAGUUCGGAUUGUAGGCUGCAACUCGCCUACAUGAAGCUGGAGUUGCUAGUAAUCGCGAAUCAGAAUGUCGCGGUGAAUACGUUCCCGGGCCUUGUACACACCGCCCGUCACACCAUGAGAGCUGGUAACACCCGAAGUCCGUGAGGUAACCGUAAGGAACCAGCGGCCGAAGGUGGGAUUAGUGAUUGGGGUGAAGUCGUAACAAGGUAGCCGUAGGAGAACCUGCGGCUGGAUCACCUCCUUUCUA
This 1517-nucleotide ribosomal RNA is filed under the name Clostridium botulinum. RNAcentral's name for it is "bacterial SSU rRNA". It matches the Rfam family "Bacterial small subunit ribosomal RNA". The record is from RNAcentral. Lineage: Bacteria; Bacillati; Bacillota; Clostridia; Eubacteriales; Clostridiaceae.